CCCCGGGUGACUUGGGGGCGACUAGGGUUCCGCCGCCGCCACCACCCCUCCAACCCUCUCCUCCUCCCUCGCCGCCACUGGAGACGGCCACCAGGACUGCUAGCGCAGGCGCCGAUCAAGGUGGCGGCGGGGAGUGCGGCACUUCAUCCCUCUCGAAGGCCAUUGGUACCUGGAGCGGCGGCCCCUGCCGGCGAGGACGCCUCGUAUUGCGACCGCCGGCGUUCGCAGGCGGUGUGCUGGCCGGCGUACUCGGCCGUGAGGGCGGUGGGCCAUUGGUGGACUUUUGGUCGCGGUGCAGAUCUCAUCUGCGUCAGAUCUGGAGGUACGAGAUCCCACCUCCCUGUUGCCUCUCUCGCUCUGUACGCCGUGGAGUGCGAUUCGCUCGUUGGCUCCGGUGUUGGUGAGCAUGGUGGAGUAGCUUGCGGCCUGGGGGAAACCCUGGCCGGCUUGGCCGGCCCGACGGGGGCGACGCCCAAGGGCGCCACUUUCUUCCAUGGGGCGCUGCUGAGGUCCCAACUCUCCACCCCGACCUCCUGCCAGGGUGAAAACCCACAAUCCCCUGCGGAUUUGGCGGCGGCGGCGCCUUGCGCGUCGUGAACUUCCUGAAGUCAUCGUCAGUGGUGUAGGGGCUCUGAUGGGAUGAUGUGUAGGCGCAGGAUUGAUGUUGCUUGUGUCUCGAGAUUGUGUGGAUGCGGUGUGGGUUGUAGGCACCGUCGCCUCUUCUGGUUGGUGCUCUCCGGUGGCGGUGAAUGCCUCUCGGCCCUGGUGACGCGGCUUCUCGAUCCUGACGGUAGGGGAUAGGGUUCGCCUUCCCGGUGGUUGUGGCUUCAUGUAAACCAGAGAGACCUGGGUCUUCUCAAUGGUGGUGCUUUGCUGCCUUGCCUCUCGCAUUUUUGCUUGGUUCCCUGCUGCCUCCUCUUCAGCGUCUGACUCCAUGAAGCUUUCCUUCUCCGACUAGUUGGGUGUGGUUAGUGGCGGUGUUGCCGACAUGGCUUAUCCCAAAUCGAGGUGGUCGCCCUAGGUCCAUCGUGCGAUGUGAGGGUGGCAUCCUUCUAGUUCUCAGGUGAGCUUCUCUAAAUCUUGACACUACGUCAGCUACAAGCCAUGGCGAGGGGGUAGGGUCCCUCUUCGGUGACAGAUAAGGAAGGUGUUAUUUUCCCUCCUUCCCUAGGUGCUCCUGGAGCAAUGUCCAUCUUCGCGUCCGACUUUCUCAUGCCCUGCUGCUCUGUCCUUGAUUUGUAGGAUACUAGUGUGGAGUACUCUGCUUCUAGCAAGAUGUAAUCUUCAUUUUCCUUUCUUAGGUUAGAUUGUGUAGGCCGUGCUUUUGGUUUGCUUCCCAGCGUUCCCCUUUGUAUGCGUUUGGUCGUCGUUCUCUGGGUCUUAUGAUCUAACUCCUGGCCGGUUGAUGGCUUUGUUAAUUCAAAGCCGGGCUCUUCACGAGCCUUCGUUCCAAAAAUAUUGGUUCUUUGGGUCUAUCUUCAAGCAUUCCCAGUUUCUUCUUCGGCCAUGAUGGCACACGUCAGAGCAUCGCUCACAUCAAGAUCUAUACUUCCACACCUACCUCUAUUUUCAAUUUGCAGUAUCGAAUCAAUGCUAGUUUCUCCAUAAGAUCAAUUUCUUGUUCUACUCCAUGGUCCAUCUCAAACCAUCGCUUCUAGUGAGAUAUAAAAUUUGAGUUCUACCACUUGAUCUAUUUGGAAGACAGCUACUGGUGUUUACAUAAGAUCUACACUUCGUCCUACUUCAAGAUCCAUGUCAAAGCAUCGCCCACGAGAGAUUUACUCUGACUCCGGAAGUCUUAUAGCUUUGUUUUUGGCGAGAUCCAUACUUUACUCUCUGCCAUGAUCUUCUGGAAGCAUCACUACCGUGAUAUCUAUACUUUGAGCAAUACCUUCCCAUCUUACUUGGGGAUCUAUGGAUCCUUAUUUAUGGUAAUUGUGCAUUAUUUUUGGUGGAUAUUUGGAUGGAUCUAAUCAAUUGAGAGGUGGUUGUGCUUUUGUCUUAUUCUCCACUAAGUCACGAAAUUAAUCCUUACCUGUAGUAUCAUACCAUACUUGUUAAACAUAUUCAUAACAAAAAGGCUGGUUCUUCUCUAGCUUAUAAAGCCAAGCUUGCAUUCACAUCACUACCUUUCGCUAGAGCACAUGAGAUACCCGAAAUACACACCAUUAUUUUUAGGGAAGUGAAAUGCAUUUUUCCAUUAUAUGUAAACAGUGUUAGUGGCAUAUAAUAUCAUGUGUUUAGAACCACGGACAUACUAUAAAGAAGGUUUCAAUCAUAAAGAUUACUUUCUUAUAGUGACUCAGGCUUGAAACAAGAAUGAUGGUGCACGUUUGCUCUUAGGCACUACCACAUUGGAGCACCUUAUCGCUAGAGAUGUCAAUGUAGUACAUUUUACCCUAAAACACACGUACUUGUUCCUAUCCUUUUCUUUUUCUGUGCUGCUUGUCUGAGAAAGCACGCACACAUAUUUCUAGUGGAUUGUCUCUAGUAUUAAUGAUGAGUAUGGACGGCAUAGCGAGGCGGAAGGGCAUACGUUACCUGUGGAGAGAGAGCAUGGCCGCGCUGAGGCUGGGAGCACCGGCGCCGCAUGGUGGCAUCAGCUUGGCUGCUUCCACCCUCACAGCCUUGUGGUUCCAGUACUUGAGGGACGACCGGUGGCGCACCUCGGCGUGGUCAUCUCCGCUUCGAGUGCGGGAUUAUGCGCGGGCGGCCUUCAUAUGGCCCUAUUGGAUGGCACGGGUGCGUCUAGCCCUGUGAUGCCGUUGCCGCCGCAACAGCCGAAGUUGGGUGCCUGGAAGGUGUGCAUGGCAACGUUGUAGAGAUGGUGGCUCACGAGGGCAGAGGGUGAGCACACCGCUACCGACAGGUGUGGGACGUGACCCAAUGGCUUGUGCUGCUCGAGCAAGGUGCGGGUGAUGCCAGUAGCGCGAGGCCUGGGGGAGAGUGGGAGGGGAGCGUGUGUUGGCUUACCUGCGUGAUUGGAGUGAAACGACAAUGAAGGAGACAACAAAGAGGCUACUACAUGGGAGAUGCUGAUCCGAUGCGAGGCUCCUCCUCAGUCUAUGCACUUGCAGUUGUUGUUCGGGACAUCGUGUCACCUAGCCACUCCAUACCCAGACUGGAGGCAAUGGACAUGAAUCACAUGAUGAGGUAGCCGAAAUCCCACUCUGGCGUGGUUUUGCUCUCGGUAUUCUUAGUUCUUGCCGUGUCAUGUUUUCUGAGAUAUAGUACAAAUUUACCUUUUCGUUUCCUUUCGUUUGGUGUGCUUAAAUGUUUUGCGGCAAGUCGGCCAAUUGGAGCAGGGCCUAUCAGGUUACUGGUCUCUUUGCUGGAUUUUGCCAAUUUGGGCCAGCCAACCAAACUAGCAAAUGUUGGCAAAAUACGGAAACAAGAACAGAUCAGAAGACGCUGUCAGGUACCAGAUAGGCCCUGCUCCAAUCGUCCGGCUUGUUGCAAAAUACACACGCACACCGAAAGAAAGAAAACCAAAAUAAAAUAAAAUUCUAACUCGACCGCACAUAACACGACACGGGAAGAAGUAAGAAAGCCGAGAGCAAAAUCAUGUGAGAGGGGGAUUUUGGCCACCUCAUCUUUUUUUGAGAGUUAUUUUGGCCACCUCAUCAUGUGGUUCAUGUCCAUUGUCGCCAGGCUGGGUUCGGAGGGGCUGGGAGACGCAACGCCCCGAGCAGCAACUCUGAAUGCCUCAACUGAGAGGAGCCUUUCAUCGGAGCAAUGUAUCUCAUGUAGCAUCCUCCUCCUUGCCUCCUUCUUGGCUGCCAUUUCACUCUGAUCAUGCACGCGAGUCAACACACACUCCCUCACACUCUUUGCAUAUGCCUCGCGCUGACGGCAUUGCCUGCACCUCGCUCGAGAAGUUCAAGCCUUUGGGUCGCACUCCUCCCCCGCCGGCAGUUGUGCUCACCCUCUGCGCCCGUGAGUCACUUGCUCUACAACGUUGCCACGCACACCUUUCAGGGAUCCAACAUUAGCAGUUGCGGCGGCAACAACAUCGCAGGGCUAGAUGCACCCGUGCCGCUCUAGCGAGGCCAUAGGAAGCACUCCCACAGCUACCGCGAGCCGCCAGCGCACACUCCCGCUCCCGAAUUGAAGUUGGUCCUCGACACGGUACAUGAACCACAAGGUGGUGUGGGAAGAUGCAUCAAAGAUGAUGUCUCCAUCAGGCGCCGGUGGUCCCAGCGUCAGGGUGGCCACACUCUGGCUCCACUGGUACACAAGUCCCUUCUCCUCACUAUACCAUCCGUAAUGAUCAUUACUACUUGCGUGUAUUGUCAUAGGUCUCUACUGGUUCUUGUCACAUGCAGUUCUAUGACUCAGUUACACUUUUUUGGACUCACCCAACACAUUAAGCAUGUAUUUUUCCAUGCCAGCAGUGACAUACAUCCAUCACAUUAAGCAUCAAUGCAUCACACUAAACAAUGCCAUUAAUAGUUCUCAUUGUCCUUGUUCUCAUUUACCUUUAGUAUGUCUACACAUACGGAUAUGAUCUUCAUAACCAUCUACUGGACAUGCAUGCUAGAUACAUAGAAAUAUACUGCUUAGUUGUUAGUAACCCACAUAGACAAUGACAUCGUCGGUGCGAGGCUGCUCCGUGGAUCGAGUUCUCGUCAUGCCGUUGUCCUUGUUGUGUAAUACUAUUUUUGCUAAGAUGGUUUCCAUGAUGGCGAUAAAAUCCGUAGAGGAGACUCACACCAAUGUCGGCGAGAAGCAGCCAAAGAAGGAGAAGCAACAGCUUAGGUAGUAGCCGCAGUGUCUGGUGCAGGUCCAGAGGCGGAGAAGCUGACCACCAACAAGGUGUGUCGUCAGGUCUCCCUCAAGAUCAAAAACCACGCGGUGGCAAAGGCGUCGACACGCAGGCAGAGACAGAGAAACUGAUGUUGCCACCAAGCACCCACGGUCCCAACUUCCAUGGCACCCCGCCCAUCCGUCCUCGUGCCGCAGCCCUCUAACUCUACAGGUGAGCACUCCCCGCGGACUUAUAGUAUUGUACACAUCGGUGAUCAUUCACAUUGGAUACAUUUUCAAAGUUAAAAGAAGUGUUCAAAGGUCACCAUGGGAUGAGCCCUUCCUUCACGGUUGUCUCGGUACGGUCAGUCCGGUUAGAGCCAUUGCCUGUGGGAUCGGAUCACGUCUAGUCCAGUCAGGUCUAGUCAGCAUCAGCUUAAGUUGUCAGGGCGUCCGCCCAAUCUUUAUAAAUGGAAGUGUGUUUCUCUACACUACGAGAUACUAGAGCUAAAUGUAUAGACAAUGCUUGAACUUGCUGUCUAUAUUCACUUUCGUGCCCUAGUUGCAUAAUACCAAAAACUGGUGCAAAAAAUUGGCUAAUGCAUUCAAUUUGGAGUACUCGCCUUCUAAGACGUUAUCUGUCGAUGUGAACUGAUAUUCCUUUGUAGGCUAACAAGUGGGGGGCGCAUAUAAGAGGAGGGCGGAGAGAGCGAGCGUCACUCAAUUACAGUGUUGUCAGUUACACUUUUGGACUCAACCAACACAUUGAUCAUUUUUCCUCAAUUACCUAAACCUACACAUGCACCUCGGGUUGUUAACAUAUAUGUGAGUCAUUUGGACUCAGCAAGUAAAUUACCAAGGAUACUAAACUAACAAUGCUUAUGGGUUGGAUGUGGAUAAGGUGGUGAGGUUGCACCAAGCAAUAUAAACCAACUAUUCCUAUAUCUAGCGCAUUGAGGAAGGCAUCGAUUGAUCACAAACUGCGUUGCGGUGGCCACCCUCCCCCUUUCUACUGUUCUUCUCCACCAAAAAGUCUCAAACUCUAGUGGCUUCUAUGAAAUCAAUGUGUGUUGAGGUCAAUUGAGAGGAACAUAAGCUCAAAUUGUUAAUAAGUAGUAUCUGACUCGACCGCACAUAACACGACACGGGAAGAAGUAAGAAAGCCGACAGCAAAAUCAUGUGAGAGGGGGAUUUUGGCCACCUCAUCAUGUGGUUCAUGUCCAUUGUCGCCAGGCUGGGUUCGGAGGGGCUAGGAGACGUGACGCCCCGAGCAGCAAACUGUGAAUGCCUCAACUGAGAGGAGCCUUUCAUCGGACCAAUGUAUCUCAUGUAGCAUCCUCCUCCUUGCCUCCUUCUUGGCUGCCAUUUCACUCUCAUCAUGCAUGUGAGUCAACACACACUCCCUCACACUCUUUGCAUAUGCCUCGCGCUGACGGCAUUGCCUACACCUCGCUCGAGAAGUUCAAGCCUUUGGGUCGCACUCCUCCCCCGCCGGCAGUUGUGCUCACCCUCUGCGCCCGUGAGUCACUUGCUCUACAACGUUGCCACACACACCUUUCAGGGAUCCAACAUCAGCAGUUGUGGCGGCAACAACAUCGCAGGUCUAGAUGCACCCGUGCCGCUCCAGCGAGGCCAUAGGAAGCACUCCCACAGCUACCGCAAUCUGCCAGCGCACACUCCUGCUCCCGAGUCGAAGUUGGUCCUCGACAAGGUACAUGAACCACAAGAUGGUGUGGGAAGAUGUGGCAAAGAUGAUGUCUCCAUCAGGCGCCGGUGGUCCCAGCGUCAGGGUGGCCACACUCUGGCUCCACUGGUACACAAGUCCAUUCUCCUCACUAUACCAUCCGUAAUGAUCAUUACUACUCGUGUGUAUUGUCGUAGGUCUAUACUGGUUCUUGUGACAUGCAGUUCUAUGACUCAGUUACACUUUUUUGGACUCACCCAAGACAUUAAGCAUGUUUUUUUCCAUGCCAGGACUGACAUCCAUCCAUCACAUUAAGCAUUAAUGCAUCACACUAAACAAUGCCAUUAAUAGUUCUCAUUGUCCUUGUUCUCAUUUACCUCUAGUAUGUCUACACAUACGGAUAUGAUCUUCAUAACCAUCUACUGGACAUGCAUGCUAGAUACAUAGAAAUAUACUGUUUAGUUGUUAGUAACCCACAUAGACAAUGACAUCGUCUGUGUGAGGCUGCACCGUGGAUCUAGUUCUCGUCAUGCCGUUGUCCUUGUUGUGUAAUACUAUUGUUGCUCAGAUGGUUUCCAUGAUGGCGAAAAAAUCCGUGGAGGAGACUCGCACCAAUGUCGGCGAGAAGCACACUACAAGAGAUCAGGCCUACUGUGAUGAGCCAAAAUAUGUCAUUGAAUUGCUAAUAACGUCACAAUUUACCCGUGGGUGACGUUUUAUGGGUGUCACACGCAUCGUCACAGAAUCCCCGUCACAGAUUACUCCUAGUGAUGGCGCGCGCAAAAUAAUGUCACCGAAUAUGGGACCUUCGGUGACGUUUCCUAGAAUGUCAACAACUUGCUAUUUCUAUGACGGGCAAUUAAUGUCACGUGUUAGGAGCAAAUAUGCCAUAUUAUACCAUAUUCAGCAAAUAUGCCAUAUUAUAACAUAUUCAGUGACAGCACAUCAACACCCGCAAAUAUAUUCCCACUACUAGCAUCACUACUUUCAUUAUUGAUGAAGACGACAUCAUUAAAUUUCAAAUAAUUUGCAAUGAAUUAUCGAAUCCACUAUAUUGCAAAUGCAUAUCACAAAGUAUUUAAUUCACAUCACAUCACACUAUACAAAUAAGUUAAGAGCCAAAUUGCAUUAUAAGUUGGAAUUAAAGACAAAUCAUAGUAUUAUUUAUUCCAUCUGUCAGCCAAAUCAUCUUCUAAAUACAAAAUGACAAAAAAAAUAUCACAGACUCAAGUUUGACACGAGAAUAAAUAAGACGAAAAGUAAUAUUUACAUAACUAAAAGACCACUUAUGUUGUCCUGAUGACUGCAAUGUAUGAUUAAAUAACUAUCUUUCUUUCACAAAAUGAUGGCCUUCAUGCACCAUCAGGUUGGACUGAUUUGCUUGCUGAGUUGCUUGAGCCCUUAAAAGAAAUCCAAUCAGGUUAUCCAUCUCAUGUUGCUUCUUUUGCCAGGCUUAUUCUUCUCUUGUUGGCUCUUCUUUGCAUCUCUUCAAAUUCUCUAUCUUGUGCUUCAUGUCUCGCGGCUAAAUCCUCCUGGUGCCUAUAAAUUGAUGAAACAUAACAACAUGUUGCACCUUAAUGAGAUGAAAACAUAUAGAUAACAAGGUAUAAGAGUACCACUAAGAAACUUAUAAUCUAUCGAAUUAUGAAUCUAAGUACAUUAUUAACAAGAUUUGCGGGUAUGUGGAUGGGUCAAUAAAACAUUAAGUUAGGUUAGCGGAACAAGAAGACACAAACUUGUAUAAAACAUUGUCAGUCAAAAUAUUUUACAUAGAUCACUGUUGCACUUUUAACUAGUGUGCCACUUAUAGUUUAAGUAGCAUCCGAAUGACUAGUGAGGGCACUACGGCAGCAGAUGGUAAUGCACUAUAGUGAUCUACUGAAGAUAUUUCAUAGUUAGUUGCAUAAGUAUAGUUGUUUGACGCUUUGGUUACUACAGAAGUUUAGAUCAGCACAUCACAAAAAAAUAGAUUAGUAAUGUACUACAAAAUCACAGAGCAAAACACAAAAAUGUUUCUUUAGUAAGGAGUGACAUCCAUUCGAUAUAUUGAACAGUCUCAAAACGAUGCAAUAUCCAAAGGUCAUCACCCAACCAUAGUAGGCAACCUUAUUGUUAUUAAGUGUGUGUUUUCUCAUCUCUGAAUUGAUUCAAACAUGCUAUGAAUUUGGUAGAUCAUCACCAUAUGUACAACUAAGUGCCAUAAGCAACUAGAACUAGUACUGUAAACUACACUAUUUGAAUCGGUUGUGUGCUUACACAUCUUCUUCUGCAGCUACAGCUAAUUGUGUACUCGCACUGCUGUUGUACGAUGCUUCCUCAAUCUAAAUAUAAGAAAUAAAAAUUUAAGUUAUGGGCAAAGGAAGUACACGAUGAGCUUAAAUGUUAGGCGUACACAACCAGCUGGUAAGGAAUUAUCCAGUAUUGCAUUGUAUGCAAAUAGAAAGUGGAGAAGCAAGUAGUAAAAAGAACAAGCUUCAGACUGUACCAACAUAGCAAGGCCGAUAAGAUUAUCUUAAUAUUGCAAACCCAAUCUUCUACCUACAGUAAGCGUCGACUAAUGCACCUACGUUUACGGAAUAAAACAGAGAAGACAAAAAAUUUACUGACAAGUGUUCACAUGGAGAAAAAAUAUUACAGAAUACCAAAAUCAUCUUCUCUUUCACCGAGCAGUAUUAGCCCAUGAUAGGAGCCCUCAACAUAUCUUUAGCUUGUUAACUUUUAUCACAGAAUAUUAAUUUAUUGUCCAUAACUACUAAUAGAAGGCAAUUCCUAGUACAGUUUCAUUGUUAAAUGUUAAUACUCUGAACGUAGAGUCUAGUCACAUAUUAAAUGUUCUGGAGACUGCAUGAUCUUGCAGCUUAAAGGGGAAACAUGACUUGAAAUUAUUCAUUUUAGAAAUUUAGAGACAGGGAGGAACAUAUACGUAUAAACCAUACCUUUGAGAAGAGCAAAGGGCAUUGAUCUUACUCCUUAUCUAGAUGAACUGCAACUAGGAAAAGGAGAUCUUAAAUAGGUGGUUAGAACAAUCAAAUUACAGAUCACAAAUCUUACAUCCAGAAAUUAUGGAAGAAAUAAGGAAGCAGCGAAAUAUACCCUCGAAUAGUUGGAAGGGGACCAGAUCUAAUGGUAUUGCAGCGGGGUUCCUUGCAGAGUUUCUCACCCAUCCCCUAGCCUCACUGCAUCAUCGGGUUGCCUCUUCCAAACCUGUUGUCUCCAGCCGCCGCCAUCUUGUUGGUCACUGGACGAAACCAAACUUCUAAAUCAGCAUCUAAUCUCAAGUAGUGGCUGAUGGAGGGGUGGUGAGGAAACGUCCAGAUCUUGGUAAAGCACGAGGUAGGAAAGGAAGCUGGGGAAGGCGCUGGAGUGGGCGAUGGUGAGGAUGAGGCGAGCGGCUAUGAUGUUGCGUGUAGAGGCUGGCGACUUCGAUGUCGCGGGUUGGCGGAUCCGAUCUUGGCCGGCGAGGCGUGGCGGCCGUUCCUUGUGGAGAGCGAGCGCGGCGGCCGGGGCUUGAUGGGAGGGCGGGCGAGCAGCCGUCAUUGGAGAAGGAUUACGCGGCUGGUGCCGCAGGGUGCGCCGGGCGGCGUGAUCCUCAAAUCUCGCCGCUAGAUGCAGUCGUGGGGUAGAGGGGGUGGAGAUGGGGAUAGAAAUUGGAGGGAGUUGGUUCCGCGCAGCUGAAAAAAUAAGGGCGUAAUUAAUUGGAUGCGGCAAAAAUUUAGGAAAGUGGAGCGAAAAGUGUUUUUUAGUGGAAAGGGAAUGGUUUAUUUUCGAGUUAAAUACAGCAGUAUGUAAAUGAGAUGGCAAAUGAUUUAAACAGCGGUGUAACUCGUACAAAAACAUUAUGAUGUGGUUUGUUCCAUGCAAUUUUUUUUGGAAGAACUCUACCUAAAUAUAUGUGCAAAGUUGUACAUAGCGACCUUAUAAUUAUGAAAAUAAAAAAACAAAAUAAGUACUUCAAAGUGGAACAAGGACUGAUUGUUUUCAAAUAGUAAUGUUAUAAGAGUCUGUACUCAAAGAUGUGAACUUAUAGAGACAUUUGUAUGACAAGUAUAUAGGCCAAUGCUGAAAUAUAUCAGAUAAAUGGCCUGAAAUUCAUCAAAUGUGAAAUUUUGAGAUAAAACGAAAAAAGAGCCAUAUGCAUCAUCUCAGGAACAUCCAUACCAAAAAAAUUCAUCCACUCUUAUUUCCAUUUUCUUGAGAUAGAACGAAACAACUAUAGCGCCAUGGGCACCAGUUCACGAAAACACAAAAUAACUUUCGUCCCCACCACUAUUUACUUCCAUUAGACAAAAUAAAAUAAGUUAAGUGUUCAAAAACAUAUGAAGAAACUCAGGCGAGUCCCAUUACAAACACCGUCACGUGGGUCCUACCACUCAAUAACUCGUGACGCGGUUGUGGUAGGCCCCACUGCUAGACAUUACAUGACGAAAUAAAGAACGGCACACAUUCGUUAAUAUUCGUGACUCUAGUAGACCCAUCAUGAAAAUUACCGAACCGUCACAGAAAUUGGUAGCCAGGUGAGGCUCAACGGCUGUGUGAUUCAGUGACAUUAAACGUCACCGAUUUGCUAUAAUAAGUGACGCCACUUACAAAAUGUCACAUAUUAGGAAUUUCUGUGAUGUUCUCAACCAUCGUCAUCAGGAUUUUCGUCACGGUAUCUUAAUUUUCUUGUAGUGGCAGCCAAAGAAGGAGCAACAGCAGCUUAGGUAAUAGCCGCAGUGUCUGGUGCAGGUCCAGAGGCAGAGAAGCUGACCACCAACAAGGUGUGUCGUCAGGUCUCCCUCAAGAUCAAGAACCACGCGGUGGCAAAGGCGUCGACACGCAGGCAGAGACGGAGAAACUGAUGCUGCCACCGAGCACCCACGGUCCCAACUUCCAUGGAACCCCGCCCAUUGAUACGUCUCCAACGUAUCUAUAAUUUAUGAAGUAUUCAUGCUAUUAUAUUAUCUAUUUUCGAUGUUUAUGGGCUUUACUAAACACUUUUAUAUUAUUUUUUGGGACUAACCUAUUAACCGGAGGCCCGGCCCAAAUUGCUGUUUUCAUGCCUAUUUCAGUGUUUCGAAGAAAAGGAAUAUCAAACGGAGUCCAAAUGGAAUGAAACCUUCAUCAUCCCGACGCUAUCCAUGACGAGGAGGGAGUAGUUCACCCUCGGGGCUGAGGGUAUGUACCAGUAGCUAUGUGUUUGAUCACUCUCUCUCGUGUUCUUGAGGUGGUACGAUCUUGAUGUACCGCGAGCUUUGCUAUUAUAAUUGGAUCUUAUGAUGUUUCUCGCCCUCUACUCUCUUGUAAUGGAUUGAGUUUUCCCUUUGAAGUUAUCUUAUCGAAUUGAGUCUUUAAGGAUUUGAGAACACUUGAUGUAUGUCUUGCAUGUGCUUAUCUGUGGUGACAAUGGGAUAUCACGUGAUUCACU
This 11837-nucleotide long non-coding RNA is filed under the name Triticum aestivum (bread wheat). RNAcentral describes it as "long non-coding RNA (TAES_LNC019770)". Lineage: Eukaryota; Viridiplantae; Streptophyta; Magnoliopsida; Poales; Poaceae. The record is from RNAcentral.